Molecule: unclassified non-coding RNA, 311 nt
Filed under: fungal sp.
Lineage: Eukaryota; Fungi
Description: partial internal transcribed spacer region
Rfam family: Eukaryotic small subunit ribosomal RNA (bases 1-46)
Source: RNAcentral
AAGUCGUAACAAGGUUUCCGUAGGUGAACCUGCGGAAGGAUCAUUAACGUUUUUCGUUUUUCGUUGACCCUCCCUUGUGUGCACCCGAGUGAAAAGGAAAAAUUUUACUUGGACGGGGAUUUCUUCUCUCUCUCUCUCUCUCUCUCUGUUUCUCUCUCUCUCUCUGGUGGGGGAAAAAGAAGGGAAAAAGGAAAAAGGAAAAAACCGUCCGGUGAAAAACAAUUAAAUAACAAAAAGCAAAAAGGAAAAAUGAAUAAAUAUUCAAAUAAAAUAAAUAAAAACAACUUUCAACAACGGAUCUCUUGGUUCUC